Molecule: ribosomal RNA, 506 nt
Filed under: uncultured bacterium
Lineage: Bacteria
Description: partial 16S ribosomal RNA
Rfam family: Bacterial small subunit ribosomal RNA
Source: RNAcentral
AGUGAACGCUGGCGGUAGGCCUAACACAUGCAAGUCGAACGGCGGCACAGGAGAGCUUGCUCUCUGGGUGGCGAGUGGCGGACGGGUGAGGAAUACAUCGGAAUCUACUUUUUCGUGGGGGAUAACGUAGGGAAACUUACGCUAAUACCGCAUACGACCUACGGGUGAAAGCAGGGGACCUUCGGGCCUUGCGCGAUUGAAUGAGCCGAUGUCGGAUUAGUUAGUUGGCGGGGUAAAGGCCCACCAAGGCGACGAUCCGUAGCUGGUCUGGGAGGAUAAUCAGCCACACUGGAACUGAGACACGGUCCAGACUCCUACGGGAGGCAGCAGUGGGGAAUAUUGGACAAUGGGCGCAAGCCUGAUCCAGCCAUACCGCGUGGGUGAGGAAGGCCUUCGGGUUGUAAAGCCCUUUUGUUGGGAAAGAAAUCCAGCUGGCUAAUACCCGGUUGGGAUGACGGUACCCAAAGAAUAAGCACCGGCUAACUUCGUGCCAGCCGCCGCCGUAA